This 411-nucleotide ribosomal RNA is filed under the name uncultured bacterium. Its description in RNAcentral is "bacterial SSU rRNA". It matches the Rfam family "Bacterial small subunit ribosomal RNA", at positions 75 to 507 of the family's 1533-position model. The record is from RNAcentral.
GGGAGCAAUCCUGGUGGCGAGUGGCGAACGGGUGAGUAAUAUAUCGGAACGUGCCCAGUCGUGGGGGAUAACGUAGCGAAAGCUACGCUAAUACCGCAUACGAUCUAUGGAUGAAAGCGGGGGAUCGCAAGACCUCGCGCGAUUGGAGCGGCCGAUAUCAGAUUAGGUAGUUGGUGGGGUAAAGGCCUACCAAGCCGACGAUCCUUAGCUGGUCUGAGAGGAUGAUCAGCCACACUGGUACUGAGACACGGACCAGACUCCUACGGGAGGCAGCAGUGAGGAAUAUUGGACAAUGGGCGCAAGCCUGAUCCAGCAAUGCCGCGUGAGUGAUGAAGGCCUUAGGGUUGUAAAGCUCUUUUACCCGGGAUGAUAAUGACAGUACCGGGAGAAUAAGCUCCGGCUAACUCCGUG